ACUACAUGUGCACCUGACACGCCCUGUGUGAGCUCCCAGCCUGUGCUCAUGUCAGAGCCACAGUGGGAUGAAGCUGCCUGGUUAGAGGACACUGGUCAACAGAUGACUACAUGUGAACCUGACACGCCCUGUGUGAGCUCCCAGUCUGUGCUCAUGUCAGAGCCACAAUGGGAUGAAGCUGCCUGGUUAGAGGACACUGGUCAACAGAUGACUACAUGUGAACCUGACACACACUGUGUGAGCUCCCAGCCUGUGCUCAUGUCACAGCCAAAGUGGGAUGAA
Gadus morhua (Atlantic cod) is the source of this 282-nucleotide long non-coding RNA. RefSeq lists it as uncharacterized. The transcript is spliced from 3 exons. The record is from RefSeq and is a predicted model, not a curated record. NCBI's taxonomy places the organism in Eukaryota, Metazoa, Chordata, Actinopteri, Gadiformes, Gadidae.